Molecule: ribosomal RNA, 426 nt
Filed under: uncultured Oscillatoria sp.
Lineage: Bacteria; Bacillati; Cyanobacteriota; Cyanophyceae; Oscillatoriales; Oscillatoriaceae
Description: bacterial SSU rRNA
Rfam family: Bacterial small subunit ribosomal RNA
Source: RNAcentral
GGGGAAUCUUCCGCAAUGGGCGCAAGCCUGACGGAGCAAGACCGCGUGCGGGAGGACGGCCUAUUGGUUGUAAACCGCUUUUGAUAGGGAAGAAGCUCUGACGGUACCUAUCGAAUCAGCAUCGGCUAACUCCGUGCCAGCAGCCGCGGUAAUACGGAGGAUGCAAGCGUUAUCCGGAAUUAUUGGGCGUAAAGCGUCCGUAGGUGGUUGUUCAAGUCUGCUGUUAAAGCGUGCGGCUUAACCGCAUACCAGCAGUGGAAACUGGGCGACUAGAGUGCGGUAGGGGUCAGGGGAAUUCCCAGUGUAGCGGUGAAAUGCGUAGAUAUUGGGAAGAACACCAGCGGCGAAAGCGCGUGACUGGGCCUGAACUGACAGCUCUCCCCACCCAAGCUAGGGGAGCGAAUGGGAUUAGAUACCCCAGUAGUC